AAAGCUUUGCUAAUACCGCAUACGAUCUACGGAUGAAAGCAGGGGACCGCAAGGCCUUGCGCGAACGGAGCGGCCGAUGGCAGAUUAGGUAGUUGGUGGGAUAAAAGCUUACCAAGCCGACGAUCUGUAGCUGGUCUGAGAGGACGACCAGCCACACUGGGACUGAGACACGGCCCAGACUCCUACGGGAGGCAGCAGUGGGGAAUUUUGGACAAUGGGCGAAAGCCUGAUCCAGCCAUGCCGCGUGCAGGAUGAAGGCCUUCGGGUUGUAAACUGCUUUUGUACGGAACGAAAAGACUCUGGUUAAUACCUGGGGUCCAUGACGGUACCGUAAGAAUAAGCACCGGCUAACUACGUGCCAGCAGCCGCGGUAAUACGUAGGGUGCAAGCGUUAAUCGGAAUUACUGGGCGUAAAGCGUGCGCAGGCGGUUAUAUAAGACAGAUGUGAAAUCCCCGGGCUCAACCUGGGAACUGCAUUUGUGACUGUAUAGCUAGAGUACGGCAGAGGGGGAUGGAAUUCCGCGUGUAGCGGUGAAAUGCGUAGAGAUNCUGGAGGAAUACCGAUGGCGAAGGCAGNCCAUCUGGNCCUAAUACUGACGCUGAGGUACGAAAGCAUGGGGAGCAAACGGGAUUAGAUACCCUGGUAGUCCAUGCCGUAAACGAUGUCUACUAGCCAUUGNNGGGCCUUUGAGNGNCUUUAGUGGCGCAGCUAACGCGAUNAAGUAGACCGCCUGGGGAGUACGGUCGCAAGACUAAAACUCAAAUGAAUUGACGGGGACCCGCACAAGCGGUGGAUGAUGUGGUUUAAUUCGAUGCAACGCGAAAAACCUUACCCACCUUUGACAUGUACGGAAUCCUUUAGAGAUAGAGGAGUGCUCGAAAGAGAGCCGUAACACAGGUGCUGCGUGGCUGUCGUCAGCUCGUGUCGUGAGAUGUUGGGUUAAGUCCCGCAACGAGCGCAACCCUUGCCAUUAGUUGCUACGAAAGGGCACUCUAAUGGGACUGCCGGUGACAAACCGGAGGAAGGUGGGGAUGACGUCAAGUCCUCAUGGCCCUUAUAGGUGGGGCUACACACGUCAUACAAUGGCUGGUACAGAGGGUUGCCAACCCGCGAGGGGGAGCUAAUCCCAUAGAGCCAGUCGUAGUCCGGAUCGCAGUCUGCAACUCGACUGCGUGAAGUCGGAAUCGCUAGUAAUCGCGGAUCAGAAUGUCGCGGUGAAUACGUUCCCGGGUCUUGUACACACC
RNAcentral lists this ribosomal RNA (1245 nucleotides) under uncultured Acidovorax sp. RNAcentral's name for it is "bacterial SSU rRNA". It matches the Rfam family "Bacterial small subunit ribosomal RNA", at positions 154 to 1391 of the family's 1533-position model. The record is from RNAcentral. Lineage: Bacteria; Pseudomonadati; Pseudomonadota; Betaproteobacteria; Burkholderiales; Comamonadaceae.